CUCUUCUCUCAAAUGCUGUAAAACCCAAUAAACCUCAAAAACAAUAAUAUCAUCAAACUUAUAACCCAUAAAUUAACUACUACAACUACAGUAUCCAAAAUCUAUGCAGAUAAUUCGAAUCAAAUCAAAGUUGCCCCCAACUCAUUUCCAGUGUUAUAAAAGUCGAUAGGCAGACCUAGGCAAUGAGGGAGGCGCCUAGUGCCUUAGGCGUUUUCCUAGGCAGACUAGGCAUUUUCGCAGUCUUAUUUAUUUAUUUUUCUAUUAUGAAUAUUUGUUAUACUAUACAAUAGAGUAGAUGUACUUUUUUAUAUUUUACAUGGAAAAUUACCGCAAAAAAAAAGACAAUCUUUUAAGGCUUAAAAAAAAUCAUUUCAAGUAUUGGUGAGCUUCAAAGUAGAGUUUUUUUAUAACACUGCUUAUUUCCAGCAUUAAUUAUAAGUGAAAUGAGAAUGCAAGGAAUAUAACCCAUAAAUUAACUACUGCUACUACACUUUCAACUCAAUUCAUAGCUAUCCCCAAUUCAUUCCAGCAUUAAUUAUGAGUAAAAUGAAAAUGGUGCAAAUAUAAUUACCGCUUUAUCCCCAGAAACCGGCAAUCCAUCGAAAAUUCCCAUCUGUAGCUAACUGAUUGCUUCACAGAAAAAGUUCGUUCAACUGAAAAAAGAGAACAAAAUUAAUCAAAUGAAUUGUAAUUGGGGUUCAACCAAAUUGGAAUUUUCUACUGGAUUGCGUACCAGAAAGAGAAAAUGAGAAGGAUUGGAUCUGCGAAAUUAAAAAGGGGGAUCCAAUUUGGGUCUCAAUAAAGAUUCAAGAGAUCAUGGAAAUAUAUCCAUGUAUGUAUAUAAAAAUAGAGAGAGGAAAACGAUUAAAAAUGAGAUUUUUCCACGGCGGAUAGCUACAGAGUUCCACAGAAGAGAGUAAAAUAGAAAUGAUAUUCAAACCCAAUUACGGGGUGUUCGGCAAUGACUUG
This 969-nucleotide long non-coding RNA is filed under the name Panax ginseng (ginseng). RNAcentral's name for it is "long non-coding RNA (PGIN_LNC012808)". Lineage: Eukaryota; Viridiplantae; Streptophyta; Magnoliopsida; Apiales; Araliaceae. The record is from RNAcentral.